This 96-nucleotide microRNA precursor is filed under the name Nicotiana sylvestris (wood tobacco). Its description in RNAcentral is "MIR6152 microRNA precursor family". It matches the Rfam family "MIR6152 microRNA precursor family". The record is from Rfam by way of RNAcentral. Lineage: Eukaryota; Viridiplantae; Streptophyta; Magnoliopsida; Solanales; Solanaceae.
UGGACAUAUUAUUGUAUUCGGCUAUAUUCACGGCGUGAAAUAGGGGAUUACACUGUUUUAAAACUGAAAUUGAAUAAAUUAACAUAAUAGACUCCU